This 348-nucleotide unclassified non-coding RNA is filed under the name Hevea brasiliensis (rubber tree). The record is from RNAcentral. Lineage: Eukaryota; Viridiplantae; Streptophyta; Magnoliopsida; Malpighiales; Euphorbiaceae.
GCUCAGAAGGCUUCAGCGCCAAAAUAUUGUCAGUUACUUCCAUAAGAUCUGAGUUUGUAGCAAUAUCACCAUUUCCAGGAUGAUCUACCACUGGUGAAGACGUAGACAUCAAUGUAACGCAACUAAAUGAUUCGCUCUGUGUCGGGGUUUUGGGUCUCUCUGAAGGAGCAUUUACUUCUGGAGUUCCCCUGCAGCUAGGUGAACCAGUUAUCUCAGCCCUGUUCUCACAUUUUCUCCUAAGGUCAUUCACACCAGAAGAGUUCAACCGGUAAGUUGAAGAACUUGAAGCAUGGUAUCCUUUGGGAAGGGAACCAACAGGAGAAGGAUUUCUGACAAGACUGUUACCCU